GAGCGGCGGACGGGUGAGUAAUGUCUGGGGAUCUGCCUGAUGGAGGGGGAUAACUACUGGAAACGGUAGCUAAUACCGCAUAACGUCGCAAGACCAAAGUGGGGGACCUUCGGGCCUCACGCCAUCGGAUGAACCCAGAUGGGAUUAGCUAGUAGGUGGGGUAACGGCUCACCUAGGCGACGAUCCCUAGCUGGUCUGAGAGGAUGACCAGCCACACUGGAACUGAGACACGGUCCAGACUCCUACGGGAGGCAGCAGUGGGGAAUAUUGCACAAUGGGGGAAACCCUGAUGCAGCCAUGCCGCGUGUGUGAAGAAGGCCUUCGGGUUGUAAAGCACUUUCAGCGGGGAGGAAGGCGGUAAGGUUAAUAACCUUACCGAUUGACGUUACCCGCAGAAGAAGCACCGG
Molecule: ribosomal RNA, 407 nt
Filed under: Dickeya sp.
Lineage: Bacteria; Pseudomonadati; Pseudomonadota; Gammaproteobacteria; Enterobacterales; Pectobacteriaceae
Description: bacterial SSU rRNA
Rfam family: Bacterial small subunit ribosomal RNA
Source: RNAcentral